Molecule: long non-coding RNA, 548 nt
Filed under: Mytilus galloprovincialis (Mediterranean mussel)
Lineage: Eukaryota; Metazoa; Mollusca; Bivalvia; Mytilida; Mytilidae
Source: RNAcentral
GCGAGUUAUUCCAUCACGAAAUUGGAGUAGUUGUAGCUGUGUGGUAUCUGCAUGGAUAGGGACAACAAGACCAUUCAGAGUUAUUCCUAAUAUUAGAUGCCGAAUCCACAGAUUGCAAGGAAUUAGGCUUUGGAAUACUCGCUGCAGUAUUCGACUGGGCUCUACACGACCAGUUAUUCGUUUAGGGUACACAAGACCAAUAACCGAUAUUGUUGAAAUAGGGAAUCAUGAAUUCCCGAUUGAGUUAUUGUUUAUGCGAAUAUGAUUUAUCAUACAGAGCAGACAUUUAUUCGAAGGAACAAUUGAUCAAAAGUUUAAAAAAAUAACCAAUGUUUCUACUGUUGGCAUGUGUUUUGUGAUACAAACAUAGUUGAAAAGGGAAUGAUGAAAGCAAAAGGAUGAGGGAAUAAGAAACACUUAUUGACUAUCUGAAUGUUAAACGAAAUGUGUUUUUAAUUUUGUAGGGCAAUAACAGUAAAAGAAGGAGAAGAGCAGCUAUUUUGUUAUAGUAUAUCUGCGGCGUUAAUUGCUCUAUUUGUCAUCCAGGG